GUGGAUUAGAUACCCUGGUAGUCCACGCCCUAAACGAUGUCGACUGGUUGUUGGGGAAUUUAUUUCCUUAGUAACGAAGCUAACGCGUGAAGUCGACCGCCUGGGGAGUACGGUCGCAAGAUUAAAACUCAAAGGAAUUGACGGGGGCCCGCACAAGCGGUGGAUGAUGUGGUUUAAUUCGAUGCAACGCGAAAAACCUUACCUACCCUUGACAUGUCCUGAACCCUGCUGAAAGGUGGGGGUGCCCGAAAGGGAACGGGAACACAGGUGCUGCAUGGCCGUCGACAACU
This 290-nucleotide ribosomal RNA is filed under the name uncultured bacterium. RNAcentral describes it as "partial 16S ribosomal RNA". It matches the Rfam family "Bacterial small subunit ribosomal RNA", at positions 773 to 1060 of the family's 1533-position model. The record is from RNAcentral.